AACGAACGCUGGCGGCGCGCCUAAUACAUGCAAGUCGAGCGAGAAGACGUAGCAAUACGUUUGUAAAGCGGCGAACGGGUGAGGAAUGCAUGGGUAACCUACCCUCGAGUGGGGAAGUAACUAGCCGAAAGGUUAAGCUAAUACCGCGUACGCUCCUUGGACUUCGGUUCAGGGAGGGAAAGCGAUACCGUGGGUAUCGCGCUCUUGGAUGGGCUCAUGUCCUAUCAGCUUGUUGGGAGGUAACGGCUCACCAAGGCUUCGACGGGUAGCUGGUCUGAGAGGACGAUCAGCCACACUGGCACUGCGACACGGGCCAGACUCCUACGGGAGGCAGCAGUAAGGAAUAUUGCGCAAUGGGCGAAAGCCUGACGCAGCGACGCCG
RNAcentral lists this ribosomal RNA (382 nucleotides) under uncultured bacterium. RNAcentral's name for it is "bacterial SSU rRNA". It matches the Rfam family "Bacterial small subunit ribosomal RNA", at positions 29 to 399 of the family's 1533-position model. The record is from RNAcentral.